Non-coding RNA from Procambarus clarkii (red swamp crayfish), 3798 nucleotides. The record is from RefSeq and is a predicted model, not a curated record. NCBI's taxonomy places the organism in Eukaryota, Metazoa, Arthropoda, Malacostraca, Decapoda, Cambaridae.
GUGUCAAAAUUUCAAAACAAUUGGUAAAGAACUUUCGGAGAUUAGCGAUUUUGAACAAACGAACAUUUACAUUUUUAUUUAUGUAGAUAUAUAUGUAUAAUAUCACAUUACAACUAUAUAGCACAUGAAUAACUUGUGGUUUCAUCAGCUAUAUUUCUUAUUUUUAAUAUGGUUCUCGUAUAUAGUAUAGUACUGUAAUUUUUUGAGAAUGCCUCUUUGCAUUGACUUGAUACAUACAAUAUUUAUGUAUGAUGGUAAAAAGAAAGUUUUUGUUGAAUUUAGGUAGUGUACUUGGUCUCCCAUCCCCCUGAUAGCCAUAUUUAUAAUUAAUACAACAUUUUGUUGGAUGGUUUGGGGCUAUCUAAAAUUGAAGUAAAAAGGAAUAAGUGUAACCACCAGACUUUCUACACAUAUACUCUGGUGCCAAGAGAUGGUUUGGGUGCAGUAAUAUCAGUUUGGAGGAAAUUGAGUGAACAUACAAGUAUAUUAAAUAUCUUGGGAAUGCUUAAAGUUGUCAUCUUGUCUACAUGUGUUUGCUGGGUGAGCUACAGUUCUCAGGCCCAUAUCUGAGUCAUCUAUUUCAGUAGCUACUGCCCCUCUUGCCUGGUAUCAUGCCUAUCUUGAAAUUAUGGAUGGACUUAGCCUUAAUUACUGUUUCUCCCCUUUCAGCUCACUUCACUGGGUCACUACUCUUGCUCUCUUCUCUUAGGUGUUCCUGGUAGCAAUAUGUACAGUACAUUAUAGUUUUGUCAAAUUUUAUUUAUACUUUUUUUUUUAAUUUGCAGUGUCCAUGAAAUAUCUGGACAAUACUUUUGUAUAUCACUUUGAAAUUAAUGACUUGCAUGUAGUAGGGAAAGAAAGAACAAUAUUUUUAUUGAUCCAUGCAUCUCCCUGGUGUCUAAUGUUUAUGCAUCCCUCUAAUGCCAUAGGAUACUUCCAUUUGUCUCGGUUUCACUAGAACCAAUUACGUGUUUGCUUAUACUGUACUGUAUAAGGUAUAUUCCAAGAACAGAUAAAGAUACUGUAUGAUAUUCAACCCACACAUCUGAAAAGGAAGAAAAAACUAAGUUUCAGUCUGUCCUGGACCAUUAUCACAACUUGAUAAUGGUCUAGGAUGGACCGAAACGUUAUCGUUUAUUAAAUUUCAGAAGUGUGGGUUGGGUAUCAAAUCUUAAGCCAUGCUAUUGUGACUCAUUGUCUGCAACGAUUCUGUAUUCUUUUCAAAUUUGAAAUGUGUAUAUCUCAAAAUUAUAUCCUAGUGUAUUUACGUAAUGUGUUUACAUCGUCAUCCAAAUACUGUAGUUUUAAAGUUACAAUUUCUUCAGUUUCCAGUAUACUUUACCGUACUGUUUUUACAAUGUGAUAAAUUUAUGGCAGCUUUUGACUACUACUGGGUUUCUAAAUUUUUUAUUAAUUUUUAAUUGUAAAAAGAUUCAUUUUUUUUUAUUGUUGUCAGCGUAAAACAGCUGACAGCUGUCGACUUUAUGGCCAAAAUAUAACAUUUUAAAAUGAGGUCUUUACAAAUCCUAUAUUUUUUUCUGAUCACCAGUAUGGUUUUAUGUAAGGUCCAUUCUAGUGGCAAUGUCUCAAAUCUUACUCAUUCAGUAUAUGGUCCACCUCACUUUGUGAUUACAAUGAAUCAUUUGCAAUAGCCCUGAUAUUUCUGAAGCUUUUAACACAAUAUUGCAAAACUUUACUCUCCAAAUAUACAAUUUUUGGCUAUCAGCAUGUAUUUUUAGUAUACUAUCUAAUAACCCUGACAGUGCUGCUGUUGAAGAUGGCUUAACUCUACCUCUUUCUUUAUUAACUGAAGUGUUCCAUGAGAGACUGUUCUCUCACCCACUCUUAUUAUUCAUCAAUGAUUUUUGUGGCAUAGCUAAUAAUAUCCAUUCUUAUGGUGAUGACUCUCUUUGGUACUCCUCAAGUACAGUACUUAUCUGGUAUCCCUCACUGAAUCUUAUUCUUUAGGACAUUUUAAUUAUUAAAAAUAUUAACAAAAAAUAUUCAAGCAAUACACUAAAAUUAUAGGAAAAUUAGAACCAAGAUAUGUUCUAUAGUUUGUGCUAAUAUCUUUGUGAUUUUAAUUUAACUGAAAAAUAUCAAAUAAAUAAAAAGUCCAGAUUGAGAGUCCAGAUACUUCGUGUGUCAAAGGGGGUUCAGUAUCAGUUACUUCAGAGAAUUGAAACAUCACUGUACUAGUACUGUACAGUAUUACUCCUUUUUGUAAUCUGAUUUCAACUCUGUUCAUUUUCAUUCUGGUUAGAAUGAUUAAUUUAAAUACUGUACUGAAGCCUAACACCAGAGAUUGAAUUUUAUGAUCUUAUUCUGUAUUGACACUGUUCUCUGUAAAUAUGUUUAAUGUUUUGUUCUUAGAAUUUUCUCUUAUAUGGUGAUUUUUGUAUUUUGUAAAGUUUUUGGUGGCUGGCCCACUUUUUCCUUUUUUAUCAAUUAUUAAUUUUAAUGGUGGUAUUGAUACUAUGCAGCCUGCAAGUUUGGUACAUGAGCAAGUGAUCUUGCACUCAUGAUUGUUCAAUCUGUUUGAGAAGUUUCUAUCCCAAGGCUCAUCAGGUUUUUUAGAUGAUACUUUGUUUCCAAGUCUCAUCGUUGAAUAGAAUGUAAACUAAUUUUUAUAGCAUAUAACUACUUUAGUUUGUCACACAUUGCUGGUUAUCUGUGUCUUUUGUCUUAAUGAACAUGUGAGUUGUCUUUUGAUUAAUGCCUUGUCAGCCACACUGCAUAUUCUUUUGUAAGAUACUCUUGUCUUCUGUACUUAUUUAUAUAUGUAAAGUACAUCAACAUUACUCCAUUCUUUAGCAAAUAGAGUAAAACAGGUGCACCAAGAGGUAAAUGGAGUGAAACAGGUGCACCAAGAGGUAAAUGGAGUGAAACAGGUGCACCAAGAGGUAAAUGGAGUGAAACAGGUGCACCAAGAGGUAAAUGGAGUGAAACAGGUGCACCAAGAGGUAAAUGGAGUGAAACAGGUGCACCAAGAGGUAAAUGGAGUGAAACAGGUGCACCAAGAGGUAAAUGGAGUGAAACAGGUGCACCAAGAGGUAAAUGGAGAGAAACAGGUGCACCAAAAGAUAAAUGGAAUGAAACAGGUGCACCAAGAGGUAAAUAGGGUGACGCAUAUGCACCAUAAAGUAAAUAAGUGAGCCAGGCUCUGUGACAUGAAACAUGGGCCAUGCCCUUCAAUAGGGUGAAACAGGUGCACUAAGCCCAGCAAUAGGGUUAAACAGAUGUACAAAACCCAAUAACAAAGAACAAUACAGUAUAUUAAUUUUUCCUCUCUGAAUGUAUGUUUUAUUUUUGGUGCAACUCCAAAUCAUAAAAAAUGCUUGAUUUAUUAAAUUUUGUAGAAUAGACACUAGUUUUUUGUUGUGAAAUUUUUUAAUUUAUUUAACUGCUUAAACCAUGGCUACAGUUAACAGCAGUUUAUUGUACAUACCUGUUUAUACUCAUAUUUAUUAUGAAUGUGUGGAUAAGUUUUGUCUGUGAAUAUCAAUUGAGUAUUACAAAAUAUUUAUUGACUUCAUUUUAUGCACCCUAAAUACAACCAGCUGACUGCUAUGCAUAUGGAGUUGUAACAAAAGAGAACUUGAUGUGUUUCAAAAACUAUGAAAUGAAGUAUUUUUAUCAUGUUGGGAAACGUCUGUAAUUUUAGUUCAUGAGGGUGAGCCUCACAUUUUGAUAGGUGAUACAAGUUGAAAGGGGGUGAUUUAUGACAAAUAGUCUUUAAAAUAAUUAUGUAUUCUUAUUAAGUUGUAUGAUGAAUUUGUAAAUAAAAUGAACUAAAAA